Long non-coding RNA from Hipposideros armiger (great roundleaf bat), 443 nucleotides. RefSeq lists it as uncharacterized. The transcript has 3 exons. The record is from RefSeq and is a predicted model, not a curated record. NCBI's taxonomy places the organism in Eukaryota, Metazoa, Chordata, Mammalia, Chiroptera, Hipposideridae.
CCCUCGGCUCCUCAGUGGUUCGGCCGGCGGGCGGGAGGACGCCCGGCGCGCAAGGAGGAGAGCCGAGCCGAGCGCCGCGCACCCGGCUGCGCACCCCGUGCCCCCUGUGCCCACCGCGCCCGCCGCAGCGUAGCCUUUUGCCUUUCAGGGCUGUAUGCUCCAGGUCUCAAUGAGGAGCCCAAACAUGGAGACGUUCAAGCAGCAGAAGGUAGAGGACUUUUACGACAUCGGAGAGGAGCUGGGAAGAACUUUUUGAAGUAAAGCCAGUGUGUCCGUGGACCCAGAUGGGAUCGCAUGACCAUGAUAAUCUAUAACUUGCUUUUUUCACAAAAUACAUUGACUAUCUUUUUAUAGUCAUGUAUAUAGAUCUAUGAGGCUUACUUUGGAUGAAAGUUUUUUUUUUAAUAAAAAAUGUAAGAAGACAGUGGUGUAAGCCAAUAAAA